ACGAACGCUGGCGGCGUGCCUAAUACAUGCAAGUUGAACGCAACAAAGACACCAGAGCUUGCUCUACCGUUUUUGUUGAGUAGCGAACGGGUGAGUAACGCGUGGGUAACCUGCCUUAUAGCGGGGGAUAACUAUUGGAAACGAUAGCUAAUACCGCAUAACAAUAGAGAUUGCAUAAUCUUUAUUUGAAAGUGCCAACUGGUACACUAUGAGAUGGACCCGCGUUGUAUUAGCUAGUUGGUAGUGUAAUGGACUACCAAGGCGAUGAUACAUAGCCGACCUGAGAGGGUGAUCGGCCACAUUGGGACUGAGACACGGCCCAAACUCCUACGGGAGGCAGCAGUAGGGAAUCUUCGGCAAUGGACGAAAGUCUGACCGAGCAACGCCGCGUGAGUGAAGAAGGUUUUCGGAUCGUAAAACUCUGUUGUUAGAGAAGAAUGUUGAUUAGAGUGGAAAAUCAAUCAAGUGACGGUAUCUAACCAGAAAGGGACGGCUAACUACGUGCCAGCAGCCGCGGUAAUACGUAGGUCCCGAGCGUUGUCCGGAUUUAUUGGGCGUAAAGCGAGCGCAGGUGGUUUAAUAAGUCUGAUGUAAAAGGCAGUGGCUCAACCAUUGUGUGCAUUGGAAACUGUUAGACUUGAGUGCAGUAGAGGAGAGUGGAAUUCCAUGUGUAGCGGUGAAAUGCGUAGAUAUAUGGAGGAACACCGGUGGCGAAAGCGGCUCUCUGGACUGUCACUGACACUGAGGCUCGAAAGCGUGGGUAGCAAACAGGAUUAGAUACCCUGGUAGUCCACGCCGUAAACGAUGAGUGCUAGUUGUUUGGGGCUAUCCAGCCCUAAGUGACGCAGCAAACGCAUUAAGCACUCCGCCUGGGGAGUACGACCGCAA
Molecule: ribosomal RNA, 888 nt
Filed under: uncultured anaerobic bacterium
Lineage: Bacteria
Description: bacterial SSU rRNA
Rfam family: Bacterial small subunit ribosomal RNA
Source: RNAcentral